UUCUCAUGCUGAUGGAGUGAGUGACAGUGGGGUGCGAACUGUAGUUACUCGACUCAGCUCAGAAUGGCUGCGGGGAACGUAUUCAGACAUACCCAAGGAAGUCUGCCCAGGGUGAAACAAACACCGUUGAGGU
Equus caballus (horse) is the source of this 133-nucleotide non-coding RNA. The record is from Rfam. Lineage: Eukaryota; Metazoa; Chordata; Mammalia; Perissodactyla; Equidae.